This 272-nucleotide ribosomal RNA is filed under the name uncultured archaeon. RNAcentral's name for it is "partial 16S ribosomal RNA". It matches the Rfam family "Archaeal small subunit ribosomal RNA", at positions 68 to 339 of the family's 1478-position model. The record is from RNAcentral.
CUUAGUGAACAUGGCGAACUGCUCAGUAACACGUGGACAACUUACCCUCCGGACUGGCAUAACCCCGGGAAACUGGGGAUAAUUCCAGAUAGACCAGAGAUGCUGGAAUGCUCUUUGGUUAAAAGUUUUUAACGCCAUAGGAUAGGUCUGCGGUCUAUCAGGUUGUAGUGGGUGUAACGUACCUACUAGCCGACUACGGAUACGGGUUGUGAGAGCAAGAGCCCGGAGAUGGAUUCUGAGACACGAAUCCAGGCCCUACGGGGUGCAGCAGG